GAUGAACGCUGGCGGCGUGCCUAAUACAUGCAAGUCGAGCGAACAGACGAGGAGCUUGCUCCUCUGACGUUAGCGGCGGACGGGUGAGUAACACGUGGAUAACCUACCUAUAAGACUGGGAUAACUUCGGGAAACCGGAGCUAAUACCGGAUAAUAUAUUGAACCGCAUGGUUCAAUAGUGAAAUACGGUUUUGCUGUCACUUAUAGAUGGAUCCGCGCCGCAUUAGCUAGUUGGUAAGGUAACGGCUUACCAAGGCAACGAUGCGUAGCCGACCUCAGAGGGUGAUCGGCCACACUGGAACUGGGCCACGGUCCAGACUACUACGGGAGGCAGCAGUAGGGAAUCUUCCGCAAUGGGCGAAAGCAUGACGGAGCAACGCCGCGUGAGUGAUGAAGGUCUUCGGAUCGUAAAACUCUGUUAUUAGUGAAGAACAAAUGUGUAAGUAACUAUGCACGUCUUGACGGUACCUAAUCAGAAAGCCACGGCUAACUACGUG
Molecule: ribosomal RNA, 497 nt
Filed under: uncultured bacterium
Lineage: Bacteria
Description: partial 16S ribosomal RNA
Rfam family: Bacterial small subunit ribosomal RNA
Source: RNAcentral